RNAcentral lists this small RNA (541 nucleotides) under uncultured Thelephoraceae. RNAcentral's name for it is "eukaryotic LSU rRNA". The stretch from base 151 to 305 matches the Rfam family "5.8S ribosomal RNA". The record is from RNAcentral. Lineage: Eukaryota; Fungi; Basidiomycota; Agaricomycetes; Thelephorales; Thelephoraceae.
CUCUGUUUGCACAUCCACCCACACCUGUGCACCCUCUGUAGUUCUGCAGCCUGGGGGGCUCUGCUCCCCUGCUGUGGUCCUACGUAUUUACACACACACACUGUAAUAAAGUCCCAGGGAAUGUAUACCGCGUUUAACGCAAUACAAUACAACUUUCAGCAACGGAUCUCUUGGCUCUCGCAUCGAUGAAAAACGCANCGAAAUGCGAUAAGUAAUGUGAAUUGCAAAAUUCAGUGAAUCAUCGAAUCUUUGAACGCACCUUGCGCCCUUUGGCUAUUCCGAUGGGCAUGCCUGUUUGAGUAUCAUGAACACCUCAACUCUCAUGGCUUGCCGUGAUGAGCUUGGACUCUGGGGGUCUUGCUGGCCUGUUGGUCGGCUCCCCUCAAAUGAAUCAGCUUGCCAGUGUUUGGUGGCAUCACAGGUGUGAUAACUAUCUACGCUUGUGGUUUGUCACCAGGUAACCUUCAGCAGAUGGAGGUUCUCUGGAGCUUACAAAAGUCUCUCCUCGGUGAGGACAGCUCUUUGAACAUUUGAUCUCAAA